CUCAGGGAGGGGCGGGGCCAUCUGCCGUGACUCCCAGAAGUCUAUUGAAGGAGAUACCAAACCAUUAAGCAGCAAGUAACAAAGUAACAAAAUGCAGCUUCUAAAUGAAGGUGUUUAUUAUUAAGGCCCUGUGUGCAAAAAAGUGCCUCCCUGCAGGUUAUAACAUAAAUGAAUUGUGGUGUUUCACCUUUGGAAAGCUGAGUUCAAUAGCUACACCCAGACCUGAUUACUGCCACACCUGUUCUCAAUCAAGAAAUCGCUUAAAUAGGACCCGCCUGACAAAGAAAAGAAGAUCCUCAAGAACCAGACAUCAUGCCACAAUCCAAGGAAAUUCAGGAACAAAUGAGAAACAAAGUAAUUCAGAUCUCUCAGUGUGAAAAAGGUUAUAAAGCCAUUUCUAAAGCUGUGGGACUCUAGCGAACCACAGUGAACGUCAUUAUCCACAAAUGGUAAAAACAUGGAACAGAGGUGAGGUGAGCCUUCCCAGGAGUGGCCAACCAAGCCAAAUUAGCCCAAGAGUGCAGCGAUACCUCAAGAGGCCUCAGAAGACCCCAGAACAUCAUCCAAAGAACUGCAGGCCUCACUUGCUUCACUUAAGGAGAAUGUCCACCCAUCUGUUCACGACCUCAGUCUGAAGCACACUUGGGUUCUGCAGCAGGACGAUGAUCCAAAACACACCAAGUCCACCUCUGAAUGACUUAAGAAAAACCAAAUGAGGACUUUGGAGUGGCCUAGUCAAAGUCCGGAGUUGGAAUCGAUUGAGAUGCUGUGGCAUGACCUUCAAAAGGCAGUUCAUGCUCAAACCCUACAAAGUGGCUGAAUUAUAACAAUUCAGCAAAGAUGAGUGGACCAAGAUUCCUCCACAGCGCUGUAAAACACUCAUUGCCAAUUACUACAAAUGUUUGAUUGCAGCUGUUGUUGCUAAGGUUGACCCAACCAGUUAUUAGGUGUAGGUGACAAUCACUUUUUCACACAGGGCCAUUUUGAAUUGGAUUCUUUUCCCCUAAUAAUAAACACCUCCAUUUACAAAUCGCAUUUUGUGUCAACUUGUGUUAUCUUUAUCUCAUAUUUAAAUUUGUUUGAUGAUCUGAAACAUUUAAGUGUGACAAAAAUAGAAAACAUAGAAAAUCAGGAAGGGGGCAAACACUUUUUCACACCACUGUAAAUAAAGGCUGAAGAAAUUGUGUUUUCACAGAGCAGCCUCAUUACUGAAGCACAAAUAAAUUUUCAUUCAUUCAGAUGACUGGACAUCAAUUGAUGGUACAGACUGUUAAGUUUAGUAGAAGAGCCUCGUGGCUCUGAGCUCAUCCACCUUCUGCUCCGCCUUCAGCCCCUUACAGCUGUUAUCAGCUUGCAGGUCUGUUUACCUGGCCUCGGGUCACUGACAGCCAGCCGCAUGUUUGGUCACUGGAGACAGAUAAGGCGUCCACCUCCACCUACCUAACUCAAGACUUUAUGACUCCCAGUAUGUUUCUGAGUUCUGUGUGUGUGUGUGUGGUGUGUGUCUGUGUGUUAUUGUGGUGAUAACCCCUGUCCCAAACACAGGCAGGGGCCGGCAUUCAGUGUUUACAAGGGCUUGGAUCAAAGCACCCUCAGUGUGCAGCCAGUCAGCAGACCUGACGUUUGGUCAUACAUUAACUGCAGGCAGGCUGUAAGAGUGUGUGUGCAUGUGAUGGUGUGUGUUCCCAGUCAAUAAUCCUGAACUUAACAAGGCCUGAAGUACUUCUGUUGAGUAAGCACUUCUACUUUCUACUGUAAUUAAUGAGAAAACGUAAAAUUAAAAAUAAUCUUGAGAACUACAUCUUUUUUUUUUUCAUUAUUUUAUUAAAUUAAUUACCAUAUCCCUUUACUUCAUUAUUAUAGACCAUACAUUUAAUGAAAGUGUCAAGGUGUAGGUGGCGUAUAUUAGCUCCCCACAGCUAAUAUACUGCACAAUAUACUCUAUUCUCUCCCUAAAGUAUUAUUAAAUGUAUCAACACAUGUAAUAAUGUGUCAUAACUCGAGAUUUUAGCAGAGACAUCCUCUUUACUGAAGAUUUGGCUUAAAACUUUCUUUUUUGAAAAAGUAAAGGUUAGGGUUGAAUCAGGUAACACUGAACCCUCCCUUUGUUACGCUUCAACAUGAUGCACAGAGUGUUUCUUCAAACACUAUGUAUUUGUACACAGCUUUGCAUUCAAUCAUUAGUUAAAAUUCAUCUCUGGCUCUCUUCCACCGUGUCUUUUGUUCCGUCUCCCUUCACCCCCAUCUGGUCACACAGAUAGCUGCCCAUCCCGAGCCUGGUUCUGCAGGAUGUUUCCUCCUCUUAAAA
Molecule: long non-coding RNA, 2308 nt
Organism: Oreochromis niloticus (Nile tilapia)
Lineage: Eukaryota; Metazoa; Chordata; Actinopteri; Cichliformes; Cichlidae
Exons: 2
Source: RefSeq, a predicted model, not a curated record